GCUGGGUGAGGUGGUGCACGCCUGUAAUCCCAGCAGCUCAGAAGGCUGAGGCAGGAGGAUCACGAGUUCAAAGCCAGCCUCAGCAAUGGCGAGGCACUAAGCAACUCAGUGAGACCCUGGCUCUA
Molecule: small RNA, 125 nt
Filed under: Marmota monax (woodchuck)
Lineage: Eukaryota; Metazoa; Chordata; Mammalia; Rodentia; Sciuridae
Source: RNAcentral